CUUGGCCUUCCAAAGUACUGGGAUUAUAGUCAUGAACCACUGCGCCUGGCCUCGUGGUCAAAUUUUUAUGGACUCAUAAAAUUCACAUAGAUACAGGGUUAGUUAAGAUGUUGGGCUGCAGUUGACCCAAAUACUUGACUGAAAGUAACGUCAACAAUAGAAAUGUAUUCAUUAAAUAUAUAACAUGUAAUAAGAAGGCUGGAGAUGACAGUUCUAGGAUUGACAGCAGUUUAGCAGAGUCAGGGCUUUGGAUUGACUUCUCUUGAUCUUGCCUUCCCGGCAUAGUCACAGGAUGGCUCUACCAGCUUCAGUCAUAACUUCCUCAGAUAACUAUGUUCAAAAGCUUGAAGCAAGGAAAUGAGCUGCUUCUCUUCACGUCUCUCUUUUCAAGGGGAAACAAUAUGCUUCCUAGGAGACUCUAGCAGAUUUUUAGUUCCCAUUGGUCAGGUUACAUGGUCAUCCUUCAACUACAAGGGAGAAAGGGAACAAGUGUUUCUGGCAUUUUCUGCUACUAUAUUGAGAGCAAUAGACUGACUGCCUAUUCCUGUGAACCGACAAGUGAUCUCUGGCUGCAGCUCAGAAGAAACAAGGACGGCUGCUGCUUGCCUCUUCCUUUUCAUGCUACCAAAGCGGAGUUCAGCACAACAGAAACAGAUGGACAGAAAGUUUCAGAAGACAUGGGAUUUUAAAAACCACCGAUCUGUUAGGAAACAGCCUUGUUUCCUCAUUUCCACGGAACAAUACUGUUCUGCAGGAUGACCAAGUGAACACUGCAAUUACUGGGAGGUUUUAUAGACACCAUAAAAUUGUAAAACUGCAGAGGUGAUUUCAGUAAUUUAUUGCUGGCUUCUUCAGCUCCCAGACCAAGUUGUAUACAGACAUGAAGGUAAGCUUUCUUCAAUCCUGUGGACAAUGGCAACACCUCAGGAGAUGGUGAAGAAAUAAGAUGGUAGGACCUUGAGUCCCUGAAUGACUGUGUGGAGCAGCACUGCCCUUCCAGUUCUGUACACUCACCUCAGGACUACUUCAGGAGGGAAAUACAAACUCUAAUUGAAGGCAUUCUCUUUUCAUUGUCUCUUUGUUACAGCCACUAAAUCUGAAGUCUCAUACAACGUUCAAAGGCACAGGAAUGUGAAACAUCGCGUUAUGCUCAGGGAAAUCCUUGUGAGUGGAGCAUCGAUGAAUGAGUUAAGAAGCAGUGGGAGGUCGGGCCAGAAAUGUUGGAAAGGCAACAAUCAGUGUGGCUUCGUGUACAGGAAACUCAUGGCUGGGUUUGAUUUCUCAUAACAGAGCCACAAAUGGGCUGUGUACAGACAUCUUUGGUCUUAAUAGGCAUGGAAUGAGGUCUGUCCUCUUCUAGUCAUUUCUGCCUCAAAAACAAACAGCUAAGCAGCACUUUAUUGCUGGCAUCUAACAGCCUUGGUCCUGAAUCAUUGGCCAUGCACCAUGCCUCAAAGAAUCUCAGCUUCUCAUUUUGUGAUGCAUCUUCCAGUUGAUACCUCAGCUGGCCACUUGUACUUCCUGUCUGACCCAGCUGUCCUCAGUCAACAUCCAGCCUUGCCCACCCGGCCCUCUGCAGACUCUGCUUUGGUCCAGAGUUAGGGAGCACUCCCCCUGGGUCACCAUAGACCCUGGGCCAUAAUUUGGUGGAGCACUCCAGAAAUGUAAAACCUUUUGGUCAAAUCUGACAGGUAUUCUAUUUCCAGGACAAAAUUAAUGAGAGAAUUUCUUUUUCUAUACUGAACUUUACUGCCAUGUUGUUAAGGAACUUCCAUAUGCUUAACUUUCUACUGUAUUGGCUGUAGUUGACAAUUUGGAAAACAACUUACUUAAAGAAAAUAGGGGCUUUAAAAAUCCUAUUUCUAAUAAUCAAGAAAGAGGCAUUUUUUUCCUUUAACUUUCCUAUUAAACUUUUUAACCACCCCAGUUUCAAGAAUCUUCAACAUACAAUUAGAUCUUUUAUUAUUUGGUGAUGUUGGGUGUCAGCAAUCUGUGCUUCUACAAAUAAAGCU
RNAcentral lists this long non-coding RNA (2012 nucleotides) under Homo sapiens (human). Its description in RNAcentral is "HSALNT0321065". The record is from RNAcentral. Lineage: Eukaryota; Metazoa; Chordata; Mammalia; Primates; Hominidae.